Molecule: transfer RNA, 90 nt
Filed under: bacterium YEK0313
Lineage: Bacteria
Description: tRNA-Thr
Source: RNAcentral
GCAGCCUUUGGCGCGCGGGAAGCGCGCGGUGAUGGUGGCGCCGGCGGCCAGAGGCGCGGCGCCCAGCAGAUCCUCGCCGUCAUGGCCGUU